RNAcentral lists this ribosomal RNA (169 nucleotides) under uncultured Clostridium sp. RNAcentral describes it as "partial 16S ribosomal RNA". It matches the Rfam family "Bacterial small subunit ribosomal RNA", at positions 338 to 524 of the family's 1533-position model. Lineage: Bacteria; Bacillati; Bacillota; Clostridia; Eubacteriales; Clostridiaceae. The record is from RNAcentral.
CCUACGGGAGGCAGCAGUGGGGAAUAUUGCACAAUGGGGGAAACCCUGAUGCAGCAACGCCGCGUGAGUGAUGAAGGCCUUCGGGUUGUAAAGCUCUGUCUUCUGGGACGGUAAUGACGGUACCAGAGGAGGAAGCCACGGCUAACUACGUGCCAGCAGCCGCGGUAAU